UAGAGAUCCCUGUUGUGAUUGGUCAGCUCUGGCCCUGGACGAGCCCAGCUGGCCAGCUCUGGGGCCAUCUUCCAGUGCAGUGUUGGAUCAUGUGAUCAUGAAGCUUCUAACACUGUCUGGUAAAGAUGCCCUCCGGGUUGGUUCUCCCUUCGAUGAC
This 157-nucleotide microRNA precursor is filed under the name Vombatus ursinus (common wombat). RNAcentral describes it as "miRNA (ENSVURG00010002107.1)". The stretch from base 61 to 133 matches the Rfam family "mir-8/mir-141/mir-200 microRNA precursor family". The record is from RNAcentral. Lineage: Eukaryota; Metazoa; Chordata; Mammalia; Diprotodontia; Vombatidae.